RNAcentral lists this long non-coding RNA (772 nucleotides) under Homo sapiens (human). RNAcentral describes it as "HSALNT0354910". The record is from RNAcentral. Lineage: Eukaryota; Metazoa; Chordata; Mammalia; Primates; Hominidae.
GCUGAAGCAACUACAGCCCCUUAGGGCUCAGCUGGGAGGGAUUUAUUGGAGAAUUUCAAUCAUGGGGUCUUGGCUCAAACUUGUUGCUUCCUCAAAAAUCUCCCCAGAAGUUGGCUACAUGUGAAACUGAGGCAUGAAGGAAGGACUCGGAUGAUCUCACGGUUCGGAACUCCACCUGGGCCUGUCAGAGAAUUCAUAGACCCUCACUUGGAGGAAGAGAGCACAGAACAGCAAGAAAGAUGCAGGUUCCUGGGACGAUGUGGAGUGGAAAUCUUGGACGCCUAAUGACAUAUUUCUGUCCAGGAAGAAAUUUGAACUCUGAAGCCGAACUUGAUUAAACCCCAAACCGAGAGACCUUGCCCAAUGGGACCACUCCAGGACUUUGACUUCUGGGUGUCAGAGCUUAAUUAAAAUAUUCAUCCAGCUGCUCUCCACUCGCCAAGGGGGCCCAGAGGAAUUAAACCAAUAAGCUUAAUUCUAUUAGUUCACCUGCCUGUGUACAUAGACAUGCGGAAGACCAUUUACUGAUUCAGAAAAAAAUCAUCAGACCCACCCUAUAAAUUCAGCGUGGGCAGCCAUCACUGCAACAGCAACACGGUCCCCCCAGCAAACGUAACACUCAGCAAUCUCGACUCCUGUCUCCGAACACACACAGCUAUUUUUAAGACUCUUCCAAGAAAACCAAAAUGCUAAACGGGUCAAUGUAAGGAUUGAUGUGCGCGCAUGUGUGUGUUAUGAUUUAUGUGUCGUUUAUAAUAACAUGUAACAUUUA